CAAAUCGGUUGCGACGUCGCGAUUCGCCGCGAACCGCGAAUUUUAUUCGUUUUCGUCGAUUUUGAGAGGGUUUUCGUUCCGAAAACGCCCUCGGUCGUGUGUUUGGGUCCUUCCCCUGCAGAAGGAAGAGACUCCAACGUGAAAAUCCCCGCUGAAGAGGGACAAAAGUGUUUUUUUUCCUAAUGGGAAUACGGAAUCUUCCCGAAGAUGGGAAUAGUGUAAGGUUUUUUUUAAUGUUUCCCAGCCUACAAGCGGCUGGUUCACCGUGUUGGCAAGUGUCACGGUAAACAGAAAGUGGUGUUCGCUGCAACCGGGGCAGCUAUAUGGAAUUUCGACGCGGGCAGUACAGGUGACCCGUACCCAAACAAAGGGAUUCGACAUCAACCUAUGCCACGGGGAAAAACUGACUACGCGGGUUUAAUAAGAUUCGCCGGCCAGAAUCCGAGAUUCUUCCCAUUCGAAUCGACCAACUCAUAGGAAGAAACACCGCGCCGACGAAGAACUUUCGCGGAUCGUCGUCUGAAGCGCCUGAAGUUCGACUGAAGUCAUCUCCCGAAGCUAUUUCUUCACCAUGGACAGUAAAGAAAUGACCAAACUCCUUUGACACGAAGGUGGAAGCGUUGUCGCUCAGAAGAACUUCAGGACACCCGUGACGAUUAAACCACUGCUCCCGAAGAAUGGAACAAAGCGAGCUGCUUUGGAUUUUCCGAACAGGGGCCAACAUGACGUAUUUGCUAAACACGUCCAGCACUACAAGCAAAUGUUGGUUUCUCCGUUUACUUCUUGGGAGUGGGCCAAUAUAGUCCACCCAGGGGGCUCUUGUGGCUGUCAAACUCCAUACAUUUUCCAUCUACCACUCAUUGAUUCUGGUACCAGCGUUUCUGGUACCCACUUUUUGGUUGGUUUGCCCUAAAACAAAUGGAGUAGAGUAAACGUCCCAUUUUGUUGGUAGACUUAUUCUCGAGUAAAUGUCGUUUUAGAUGCGAAAAAACAAGAGCUCAACAUUUGUUUUCAGUACAAUGUGCACUUUCAAUGAAUAAGAUAAGUUUUGUAAGCAUUUGGAAUGAAACAUUACCGCCGUGAUGAAUUUAUGAUUGGUAAGCAAAAUGUUGACGUUUAUAGGCCCCUGAGUCCACCGAAAUCAUCCUCCAUGGUGAAUUUGACGUUCGGGCCUGCCCUAGUGCAGGUUGGACCGGAACAAAAGGAGCUUUUAUCUCCUUGCACGUCUCACACUGCUGCAAAUACUUUCUUAUUUGCGUUGCCAUGCUUGGCCAGAAAUAACGGAGUUUGAUUUCAUGAAGGGUUUUUCAAACCCCACGUGGAGAAGAUUUUCGUGCGUCUUCUCAAUGAUAUCGGGGUGACACUCCGGAGCUGGAAUCAGUUUCCAACCAAACCGCGAGUCGCAAAGAACAUCCUCAUCCCUGACGUACUUGUACAGUUGACCACUUUCGACUUUAAAGUCACAGUACUUAUCAGGGUUUGCGAUUACCUUGGAUUUUAGACUGCAGUACCAAUCGGACUUUGUCACCGCCGAGAUUUCGUUCACGGCACGAGACAAAGCAUCUGGGACGACAUUGUCUUUGCCUUUACGAUGCUCGAUAGUCAUAUCGUAGAGUUGUAGCUCUAAACUCCAGCGACUCAGACGGGAACCAGUCUUCCACUUGGUUUGCAUAAUCCAGGUAAUCGCUGAGUUAUCUGUGACCAGUCGAAAGUGGUAACCUUCCAAAUAGCCUCGGAAGUUUUCCACUGCCAAAACGACCGCAAGCCCCUCCUUUUCGGUGGCAUGGUAGUUGCGUUGCGGUGUAGUAAGCUUAUGAGAGAAGUAAGCUACUACUUUCUCGCCAUCGGGAUGCUGUUGCGCAAGCACUGCUGCCACUGCAGUGUCGCUCGCAUCAGUUUGGAGGAUGAAUUCCCUCGAAAAAUCCGGUGAAACCAAAACUGGUGGAGUGAUCAACUUCUCCUUGAUCUCAAAAAAAGCCUUUUCGGCUUCGGUGUUCCAGCCAAUCUUCUUCGACUUCGUUUUGAGCAAAUCUGUAUGCGGCGCCGUCACCUCACUGUAGUGAUUUAUGAAUCGGCGGUAAUAUCCGCACAUGCCCAAGAACCGACGAAGUUUCGUUACCGUGAUCGGUCUCUCGUAGUCGAGAAUCGGUUGGAUUUUCUCGGGAUUGACUUUCAAGCCGUCGCGAGAAAGGUAAUAGCCUAGAAAUUUUAGUGUGGAACACCGAAACGGGAUUUCUCAAGAUUUACCGUCAAGUUGGCUCUCCUUAAGCAGUCGGCAACCUCUUGGAGAAGUUGUACAUGGUGCUCAAAGGUUUCGCUUACCACGAUGAUAUCAUCGAGGUAAACGAAGACGUACGGCUCGAGUUUGCCUCGACCUAGAACCCGGUCCAUCAACCUUGCUAGAGUCGCAGGACUAUUGACUAGCCCAAACGGUAAUCGGGUGAAGUGAAACAUUCCGCGACCAGGCACACUGAAGGCUGUAUACUUUCGGCUGUCUUCCGCUAGCGGGACCUGAAGAAAAGCUUCUUUCAGAUCAAUUGUCGACAGAAACCUAGCUUUCGGAAGACUGCCUAGUAUACGACCAGGGUGCGGAAGCGGAUAGGCAUCGCGUACGGUACGCUCGUGAAUGGGCCUAGCGUCUAGGCAAAGGCGAAUGGAGCUAUCGGGUUUCGUUACGGCCACAAUAUUCAACGACCACUCCGAAUCGGACUCUUCUAUGAUUACCAUCGAACGCCAUCUGUCUACCUCGACCCAUACUUUGGACAGUUUUUCUGGACUCAUCUUGUACGGAAAGCGGAUUACUGGAUCCUUACCUCGGAACUCCUCUUUUAUUACAAUCCUGUGCUCAGUCAAGGUGGUUGUGUUCAGUUUACCGGGAACAACGCCCUGGAAGAAAGACUUUACCUCAUCUACCCACUGCGCUUGUUCUGGAGUGAGUGUCGAUUCAUUCGAGCAUUAACCCCCAAAACCCGCAUCUGACCAGGGUUAACCACAGCACAUUCAUGUAGUUCUGGAGUAAUUCCAAAGGUUCUCCAAAAAUCCAUCCCCAACAGACAAUCCACACUCAAAUUUUCGACGAUGAGGGUACAAACGGCUUUGGUCUUCUUUUCGAAGGUGAAAGGAAGAUAGCACUGGCCUUGAACAGGCAUGAUCUGACCACCAGCCGAGCGUAACUCGCAUGGUUGAUCUAAAUCCUUCAAAGCGGUGGGGGAAAUUCUCUGAAGAAGUCGCAUGCUCAUGAUCGUGGCAUUACUGCCACUGUCGAGCAGGGCUGCGAACUUCGAACCAUGAACUUCAACCCAGACAAAUGGCCGAUUAUCUGAAGGCAGAUUGAAACUGAUCGUUUGUACGGAAAGCGGGUCGUAAUAGUCCUCAUCGCCGGCAGGUCGAAAAUUUUGGAGCACUUCGGGAGGUAUGACUAGCUUAAAUCCACACUUAAAUCCUUAACAGCACACAGAAAAUUCUCUUUGGUUUCUGACACUCUUCAUGCUCGUGUCCGCGAGUUCCGCAGUUGUAACAAGAACCGAGAUGCGGUGGACGAUGGUUUUCCACCAGGUAAUUCAAAGAGAUGACCGUUUUCUGUGACUGAGUGGGUUUAUUCUCGUUGUUCGCUUUCCCAUGGAGAUUCUUAUCCGGCUGCCCUCGCGAAUCCUUUGGGAGAUUCUGAGGUGGCUUAGUGGCCGGCUGUGAGGCUCCCGGAGCGCUCUUAUAAAAAACCUUUGAUCUGGCAAAUCUCGCAUUUCCCUGCUGCAGUUGGGUUGGCUUUGAACCACUGUAAGCCGGAUUUUCAGAAACUGCAGCUACCUCCUUGGAACCACCAAAUACUAUGGAGUCAAUUGGGGUUCGUGAAGCAUCGAAAGAUUUGCCGACAGUCAGAAGCUCAGCAAGCGUAUUCA
Molecule: long non-coding RNA, 3896 nt
Organism: Wyeomyia smithii (pitcher-plant mosquito)
Lineage: Eukaryota; Metazoa; Arthropoda; Insecta; Diptera; Culicidae
Exons: 3
Source: RefSeq, a predicted model, not a curated record